ACGUAGGGUGCGAGCGUUGUCCGGAUUUAUUGGGCGUAAAGAGCUCGUAGGCGGCUUGUCGCGUCGACUGUGAAAACCCGCAGCUCAACUGCGGGCCUGCAGUCGAUACGGGCAGGCUAGAGUUCGGUAGGGGAGACUGGAAUUCCUGGUGUAGCGGUGAAAUGCGCAGAUAUCAAGAGGAACACCAGUGGCGAAGGCGAGUCCCUGGACAACACCUGACACUGAGGCACGAAAGCUAGGGGAGCAAACAGGA
This 253-nucleotide ribosomal RNA is filed under the name uncultured prokaryote. RNAcentral describes it as "partial 16S ribosomal RNA". It matches the Rfam family "Bacterial small subunit ribosomal RNA", at positions 525 to 777 of the family's 1533-position model. The record is from RNAcentral.